UGGUAGGUAGCUCAGUCGGGUAAGAGCCCGCUUCUCAGGCAAGAGAUUCGGGUUCGAAUCCCGGCGUUGACAG
This 73-nucleotide transfer RNA is filed under the name Plutella xylostella (diamondback moth). RNAcentral describes it as "tRNA-Leu". The record is from RNAcentral. Lineage: Eukaryota; Metazoa; Arthropoda; Insecta; Lepidoptera; Plutellidae.